GGAGAUGGCUCAGUGGGUAAGAGCAUUGACUGUUCUUCCAGCAGGCCUGGGUUCAAUUCCCAGCAUCUACA
This 71-nucleotide transfer RNA is filed under the name Mesocricetus auratus (golden hamster). It matches the Rfam family "tRNA". Rfam says of the family: Transfer RNA (tRNA) molecules are approximately 80 nucleotides in length. Their secondary structure includes four short double-helical elements and three loops (D, anti-codon, and T loops). The record is from Rfam by way of RNAcentral. Lineage: Eukaryota; Metazoa; Chordata; Mammalia; Rodentia; Cricetidae.